GCGACGAGCGCGGCCGGAACCGGGCCGGCGCGGGGCGGAUGCCGGCGGCGGGGAGCGGUGACCUCCUGUGUGGUGGUGGAGAGGAGCAUGGGCAGCUGAGUCGGCUCUCUGUGCCAGCACAGCCGCCGCACGCCGGUGCGGAGAACCGCUGGGGCAGAUCUCGGCGGCGGCACCGAGAAGCCCAUCUUUAUACAACGGGCAGUGCGUCGGCCUCUUCUCCUCCAAGAUGCUGCUGCCGCCGGUAUGGACGGCCGCCACGCGCCACUCCGGCUCCUCGGCCGCGUCCUCCGAUGGCGAAGAAGAGAGCAUGGCCUCGUGGGGGAUCACUGAGGAUUCCGGCAACGACCUGUCUCUGUACAACCGGCCGCGCGUCGGCCUCUUCUCCGCCAAAAGCCUGCCUCCACCUGUAUGAACAACCGCCUCGGAUCCUCGACCGCCGCUCCGUGGUGCGACCCGUGGCCGCCUUUGCCAGGAAGUGCUCCCGUCUUCAAGAUCCUCCCCGGGGACUACAACUGGUUAUACUCUAUUCAGGAGCCAUUGUACAUGCUUUGUGUUGGCUUUGGUGUUUCCAAAUGAAUGUUGUUGGAAGUCAUGUAAGAUUAAUGGUACUGAAUUGUCAUAUUAAUAAGUAUUGAUGAACUGGGCUAGGUAAUGAGAAGAAAACAAGUUGCUGAUCUGUUUUUGCAAAACUGUAGUUAUAUAGCUUUUGUUCAUAGAUUUCAGUGCUGUAAAUAAAUACAACCUUUCAGCUCAUAUGCCGAUUUGUAGGAUUGUACAGGUCAUUGUGUUCAUGUUGAUGAAACUGUGAACGGUUUUAUUCUUAUUUGCAGGCAACAAUCACAUGAUUGAAAACUUGAUUGGUUAAUUAGGACAUGGUUAAUUAUUUCUGCAUCUUUCUUUCUUGAAAGAUGUAAUUUUUGCGGUGUUCAAAGGUACAAUUUUCUAUUCAAUAUUUACUUAUUUCAUAGACUAUGUUAUUUGAAAUUUUCAUGGUUUUGUGAUUUGAUUGUGAACGAGAUUAAUCUAACAUAUGUAUCCUUUUAAGUUAUGCUCAUUCAAGUGAUUCCUUGGUAUUUUAUUUGUCGUAUCCCCGCUUCGGGUCGACGCCGCCGUCGCGGCUCCUCCACACCAUGGCCGACGUAUGCUCGGCGGCGGCCUCCGACGAAAGCCUAGCUGGGCGUGUACCUACUUCAUAGUGUUCAUAACUCAAGUGUGAUGGGCCGAGUAACCAAUCAGGUCAUACUUCAUGGCAGACCAUAAUAAUUAUAUCCAUUUCUCAUGCUUUGAACAUAUCGCAAAUCCAGUGGCAGUUCUAUGUUUCAACUGGACAAAAGAGUGGAUUUGCUCCUUUUAUCAUCACCAUAGCUGAGCAUUUAUUCAUCUCUCAAAUUUUUUCUGCUAAUACAAAAAAAUGAUAUUACUUUGCUUGAUUAGUAAUAUGGCUGACCACUGACAUAAUUUGUGUUCAUUUUCGAGGCUAAGAUUCUUGUCAGCAUGUGACUUGAAAUUGCUUUAUGCUGCUGGUACAUGUUUGGUGUCGGUUAAUUUACAAAGCAAGAAGGCGCAUGAAUAAGACAACAACGAGGCAAUAUGUCAUAGUGGCUGAUUUGGAGGAAGGAUUUUAUAUUUUCUAGCUUCCCUAGAUCAAUUUUCGUAUGGGCAGCAAACACAGGUGUCGAUUGAGCAUUCAACAUUAGCUUGCAGUUCACUGUCAUGGCAAUGAAGCUGCAAUUCACUAGCUUAGCCCUUCUCAUGAGGUAUUUCUUUUCCUUUGACCUGAAGUAGUAGUAAUAGUGGUUCCAUGAGGCUAGGAGGGUUUUCCAAUUAGCUAUCCCUGCCAUAUGAUGCUUUUAUGUAGGACAGAUGAUCAACUUAUGGCGCCCACUGAACUUUAGGAACUUUUAAUGAAGGAAAUUUGGUUUAGAUAGAGGUAGCAAUUUUUGUGAGUUGCAACAUUUUGGAGAAUUGAUUUGGUGUUUUCUUUUUGUCAGGAUAGUUGUUCACUCCAGUUAUCAGCUUGCAUUCAGAUGGCUGAGACAUGGUGCCGGAUGCCAAUUUCUUUUGUUUAUAUCAUUUGCCUCAGUUAUUUAUGUAUGUUCGUCCUUGACAAUCUCUACUGUCAGAUGCUCUUGGAGGAUUAUUAUGGGGUUACAAUCAUGAGCCUUUAAUUUAAUAGAUUGCAUAAUAUUUGUGUAGUCAAUCUCAUCUCGCUGCAUAUUGGUUUGUUGCUUGUAUUGUUUCUAUUUGGUUCUGCAGUAGUAUAGUCCAAUUUCUGAAAAUUCAUGGAUACACCAUUGUUUGGUGUGCUCUCGAUUGAGCGCUUCAACGAUGAGUUGCAAGAUCAUCUUCAUAAAUGCUCAAUGACAGCUGAUGGAAUGUAAUUAUUUGGGUUGACGAGAAGCUUUUGUUUCUCUCGAAGGUUUCAUCUCUUGCUUGGUCAGAACCGAUGGAAGUUUUUUGUGCUUUCAUUACUCAGCUGUUGGUUGGGCAAGGGUGCCUCUCAUUACACCAACAAACUUACCUUGUGAUUUUUUUAGGACAUUAGCCCAAUUAAUCCUGUAUGAUAUAUGGCAUACCCUAAUGCACAUACGAUUUAGCUUCUUAGCUUGAGUUUGUCUUUCCAAAUCCACUUCAGCAAGAUUUUUUUACGGUAAUCUGCAAUAUUGUAUAUGUCAUAACUUAUCCACUAAAUUAAGAAUUCAGUAAUACCCUGAUGCAUAUACGAUUUAGCUUUCUUA
Lolium perenne is the source of this 2738-nucleotide long non-coding RNA. RefSeq lists it as uncharacterized. The record is from RefSeq and is a predicted model, not a curated record. Lineage: Eukaryota; Viridiplantae; Streptophyta; Magnoliopsida; Poales; Poaceae.